Molecule: ribosomal RNA, 1430 nt
Filed under: uncultured organism
Description: 16S ribosomal RNA
Rfam family: Bacterial small subunit ribosomal RNA
Source: RNAcentral
GACGAACGCUGGCGGCGUGCUUAACACAUGCAAGUCGAACGGAAAGGCCCUGCUUUUGUGGGGUGCUCGAGUGGCGAACGGGUGAGUAACACGUGAGUAACCUGCCCUUGACUUUGGGAUAACUUCAGGAAACUGGGGCUAAUACCGGAUAGGAGCUCCUGCUGCAUGGUGGGGGUUGGAAAGUUUCGGCGGUUGGGGAUGGACUCGCGGCUUAUCAGCUUGUUGGUGGGGUAGUGGCUUACCAAGGCUUUGACGGGUAGCCGGCCUGAGAGGGUGACCGGCCACAUUGGGACUGAGAUACGGCCCAGACUCCUACGGGAGGCAGCAGUGGGGAAUAUUGCACAAUGGGCGGAAGCCUGAUGCAGCAACGCCGCGUGCGGGAUGACGGCCUUCGGGUUGUAAACCGCUUUCGCCUGUGACGAAGCGUGAGUGACGGUAAUGGGUAAAGAAGCACCGGCUAACUACGUGCCAGCAGCCGCGGUGAUACGUAGGGUGCGAGCGUUGUCCGGAUUUAUUGGGCGUAAAGGGCUCGUAGGUGGUUGAUCGCGUCGGAAGUGUAAUCUUGGGGCUUAACCCUGAGCGUGCUUUCGAUACGGGUUGACUUGAGGAAGGUAGGGGAGAAUGGAAUUCCUGGUGGAGCGGUGGAAUGCGCAGAUAUCAGGAGGAACACCAGUGGCGAAGGCGGUUCUCUGGGCCUUUCCUGACGCUGAGGAGCGAAAGCGUGGGGAGCGAACAGGCUUAGAUACCCUGGUAGUCCACGCUGUAAACGGUGGGUACUAGGUGUGGGGUCCAUUCCACGGGUUCCGUGCCGUAGCUAACGCUUUAAGUACCCCGCCUGGGGAGUACGGCCGCAAGGCUAAAACUCAAAGGAAUUGACGGGGCCCCGCACAAGCGGCGGAGCAUGCGGAUUAAUUCGAUGCAACGCGUAGAACCUUACCUGGGUUUGACAUGGAUCGGGAGUGCUCAGAGAUGGGUGUGCCUCUUUUGGGGUCGGUUCACAGGUGGUGCAUGGCUGUCGUCAGCUCGUGUCGUGAGAUGUUGGGUUAAGUCCCGCAACGAGCGCAACCCUUGUUCACUGUUGCCAGCACGUUAUGGUGGGGACUCAGUGGAGACCGCCGGGGUCAACUCGGAGGAAGGUGGGGAUGACGUCAAGUCAUCAUGCCCCUUAUGUCCAGGGCUUCACGCAUGCUACAAUGGCUGGUACAGAGAGUGGCGAGCCUGUGAGGGUGAGCGAAUCUCGGAAAGCCGGUCUCAGUUCGGAUUGGGGUCUGCAACUCGACCUCAUGAAGUCGGAGUCGCUAGUAAUCGCAGAUCAGCAACGCUGCGGUGAAUACGUUCCCGGGGCUUGUACACACCGCCCGUCAAGUCAUGAAAGUUGGUAACACCCGAAGCCGGUGGCCUAACCGUUGUGGGGGAGCCGUCGAAGGUGG